This 73-nucleotide transfer RNA is filed under the name Bos taurus (domestic cattle). It matches the Rfam family "tRNA". Rfam says of the family: Transfer RNA (tRNA) molecules are approximately 80 nucleotides in length. Their secondary structure includes four short double-helical elements and three loops (D, anti-codon, and T loops). The record is from Rfam by way of RNAcentral. Lineage: Eukaryota; Metazoa; Chordata; Mammalia; Artiodactyla; Bovidae. RNAcentral also lists the same sequence under 3 other names.
UCCCUGGCAGUUCAGUGGCUAAGACUCUGUGUUCUCAACGCAAGGGACCCGGGUUCGAUCCCUGGUCAGGGAA